This 336-nucleotide unclassified non-coding RNA is filed under the name soil metagenome. RNAcentral's name for it is "partial contains 5.8S ribosomal RNA, internal transcribed spacer 2, and large subunit ribosomal RNA". The stretch from base 1 to 120 matches the Rfam family "5.8S ribosomal RNA", at positions 35 to 154 of the family's 154-position model. The record is from RNAcentral.
GAUGAAGAACGUAGCGAAAUGCGAUAAGUAAUGUGAAUUGCAGAAUUCAGUGAAUCAUCGAAUCUUUGAACGCACAUUGCGCCCGCCAGUAUUCUGGCGGGCAUGCCUGUUCGAGCGUCAUUUCAACCAUCAAGCCCCCGGCUUGUGUUGGGGACCUGCGGCUGCCGCAGGCCCUGAAAAGCAGUGGCGGGCUCGCUGUCACACCGAGCGUAGUAGCAUACAUCUCGCUCUGGGCGUGCUGCGGGUACCGGCCGUUAAACCACCUUCAUAACCCAAGGUUGACCUCGGAUCAGGUAGGAAGACCCGCUGAACUUAAGCAUAUCAAUAAGCGGAGGA